UAGUAAUUAACUUAAUUGGUAAAGUGAAUCGCUUACAACGAUUAAAUUAGCAGUUCAAAUCUGUUAUUACUAA
RNAcentral lists this transfer RNA (73 nucleotides) under Chrysochromulina sp. NIES-1333. RNAcentral's name for it is "tRNA-Val". It matches the Rfam family "tRNA". From Rfam's summary of the family: Transfer RNA (tRNA) molecules are approximately 80 nucleotides in length. Their secondary structure includes four short double-helical elements and three loops (D, anti-codon, and T loops). The record is from RNAcentral. Lineage: Eukaryota; Haptophyta; Prymnesiales; Chrysochromulinaceae.